Long non-coding RNA from Onychostoma macrolepis, 533 nucleotides. RefSeq lists it as uncharacterized. The transcript has 3 exons. The record is from RefSeq and is a predicted model, not a curated record. Lineage: Eukaryota; Metazoa; Chordata; Actinopteri; Cypriniformes; Cyprinidae.
UUUCGUACCCGCUCUUCUUCAAAUUGACAUAUUCCCAGUCCAAGAAGGUAUAUUUAUGGGGAGCGUGGUAAAGAAAUGCAAGCCAUUUGCUUUAUUAGAAGUCAAUGUACCACCAGAAUGAUUUUGAAACUGUUAUUUCAAGGAGUACCAGAGACUGGAGGUAGUUGGUCUUCAAAACGAAUGAGAGGCAUAUGAACUCUGAAUUACCUGCAGAGGAGCUCAGUGCUGGAUUGGAGGCAGCGUGGAGCAUCAGUGGUCUUCAUAAAAACAUGCAAACUUGGACAUUGGAUGUAUUCGCUGGAAUGAAGGUUCAUUUCUGUGGGAUAAUGUUCCAGACAAGACAUUUUACUUUUCAGAUCACCUGGGAAGGGAAGAUGAGAAAGUUUCUUCAUCUCUGCGGAGACCAGUGCCAGACUCUGAAGCUCAGCUUUUACAAUCUUCCACACUCAUCUCAAGCACAGUAUACUUGCUCCAUUUGAACCGAGUCUCCAGAGCAGCAGGGAUGGCGUACGCUAAGAGAUGUGAAAUUACAC